Molecule: ribosomal RNA, 916 nt
Filed under: uncultured bacterium
Lineage: Bacteria
Description: bacterial SSU rRNA
Rfam family: Bacterial small subunit ribosomal RNA
Source: RNAcentral
UUGUUGGUAAGGUAAAAGCUUACCAAGGCUUCGAUCAGUAGCUGGUCUGAGAGGACGACCAGCCACACUGGGACUGAGACACGGCCCAGACUCCUACGGGAGGCAGCAGUGGGGAAUUUUGGACAAUGGGGGCAACCCUGAUCCAGCCAUGCCGCGUGAGUGAAGAAGGCCUUCGGGUUGUAAAGCUCUUUCAGCCGGAACGAAACGGUUACGGUUAAUACCCGUGACUACUGACGGUACCGGAAGAAGAGGCACCGGCUAACUACGUGCCAGCAGCCGCGGUAAUACGUAGGGUGCGAGCGUUAAUCGGAAUUACUGGGCGUAAAGCGUGCGCAGGUGGUUUUGUAAGUCAGAUGUGAAAGCCCCGGGCUCAACCUGGGAACUGCGUUUGAAACUACAAGACUAGAGUGUGGCAGAGGGGGGUGGAAUUCCGCGUGUAGCAGUGAAAUGCGUAGAGAUGUGGAGGAACACCGAUGGCGAAGGCAGCCCCCUGGGUCAACACUGACGCUCAGGCACGAAAGCAUGGGGAGCAAACAGGAUUAGAUACCCUGGUAGUCCAUGCCCUAAACGAUGUCAACUAGUUGUCGGGCCUUUACGGGCUUGGUAACGUAGCUAACGCGUGAAGUUGACCGCCUGGGGAGUACGAUCGCAAGAUUAAAACUCAAAUGAAUUGACGGGGACCCGCACAAGCGGUGGAUUAUGUGGAUUAAUUCGAUGCAACGCGAAAAACCUUACCUACCCUUGACAUGUAUCGAAGCCCGCAGAAAAGCGGGGGUGCCCGAAAGGGAACGAUAACACAGGUGCUGCAUGGCUGUCGUCAGCUCGUGUCGUGAGAUGUUGGGUUAAGUCCCGCAACGAGCGCAACCCUUGUCAUUAAUUGCCAUCAUUUAGUUGGGCACUUUAAUGAGACUGCCGG